RNAcentral lists this ribosomal RNA (483 nucleotides) under uncultured bacterium. Its description in RNAcentral is "partial 16S ribosomal RNA". It matches the Rfam family "Bacterial small subunit ribosomal RNA", at positions 28 to 523 of the family's 1533-position model. The record is from RNAcentral.
GAUGAACGCUAGCGGCAGGCUUAAUACAUGCAAGUCGAACGAACAGCAAUGUUAGUGGCGCACGGGUGCGUAACGCGUAUGCAACUUGCCUUUAACUGGGGGAUAACGUUUCGAAAGAGGCGCUAAUACCGCAUAAUACAGUGAAGACACAUGUUUUUAUUGUUAAAGCUCCGGCGGUUAAAGAUGGGCAUGCGUAGGAUUAGCUAGUUGGUAAGGUAACGGCUUACCAAGGCGACGAUCCUUAGGGGUUCUGUGAGGAAGGUCCCCCACACUGGUACUGAGAUACGGACCAGACUCCUACGGGAGGCAGCAGUAGGGAAUAUUGGUCAAUGGGCACAAGCCUGAACCAGCCAUGCCGCGUGCAGGAAGAAUGCCCUCUGGGUUGUAAACUGCUUUUGACAGGGAAGAAAUCACUUAUGCGUAAGUGUCUGACGGUACCUGUAGAAUAAGCACCGGCUAACUCCGUGCCAGCAGCCGCGGUAA